Molecule: ribosomal RNA, 429 nt
Filed under: bacterium
Lineage: Bacteria
Description: partial 16S ribosomal RNA
Rfam family: Bacterial small subunit ribosomal RNA
Source: RNAcentral
UAGGGAAUCUUCGGCAAUGGGGGCAACCCUGACCGAGCAACGCCGCGUGAGUGAAGAAGGUUUUCGGAUCGUAAAGCUCUGUUGUAAGAGAAGAACGUGUGUGAGAGUGGAAAGUUCACACAGUGACGGUAACUUACCAGAAAGGGACGGCUAACUACGUGCCAGCAGCCGCGGUAAUACGUAGGUCCCGAGCGUUGUCCGGAUUUAUUGGGCGUAAAGCGAGCGCAGGCGGUUUAAUAAGUCUGAAGUUAAAGGCAGUGGCUUAACCCUUGUUCGCUUUGGAAACUGUUAAACUUGAGUGCAGGAGGGGAGAGUGGAAUUCCAUGUGUAGCGGUGAAAUGCGUAGAUAUAUGGAGGAACACCGGUGGCGAAAGCGGCUCUCUGGUCUGUAACUGACGCUGAGGCUCGAAAGCGUGGGGAGCAAACAGG